CGCGGGAUGGAGGAGUAGUACCUCGGAAGGCUCAUAACCUUCAGGCGCGGGUGCAAUUCCCGCUCCCGCAACAA
RNAcentral lists this transfer RNA (74 nucleotides) under Candidatus Ryanbacteria bacterium CG10_big_fil_rev_8_21_14_0_10_43_42. RNAcentral's name for it is "tRNA-Met". It matches the Rfam family "tRNA". From Rfam's summary of the family: Transfer RNA (tRNA) molecules are approximately 80 nucleotides in length. Their secondary structure includes four short double-helical elements and three loops (D, anti-codon, and T loops). The record is from RNAcentral. Lineage: Bacteria; Candidatus Ryaniibacteriota.